AUUGAACGCUGGCGGCAGGCCUAACACAUGCAAGUCGAGCGAGGGGCGGAUGGGUGAGUAAUGUAAGGGUACUGCCAGAUGGAGGGGAAUAACUACUGGAAACGGUAGUUAAUCACGCAUACAAAUGGACUACCCAUGUGGGAUUAGCUAGUCGGUGAGGUAAUGGCUCACCUAGGCGACGAUCCCUAGAUGGUGUGAGAUGAUGAUCAGCCACACUGGCACUGAGACACGGCCCAGACUCCUACGGAGGCAGCAGUGGGGAAUAUUGCACAAUGGGCGAAAGCCUGAUGCAGCCAGGCCGCGUGUAUGAAGAAGGUCCUCGGGUUGUAAAGUACUUUCAGUCGGGAGGCGUUACCAACAGAAGAAGCACCGGCUAACUCCGUGCCAGCAGCCGCGGUAAUAC
Molecule: ribosomal RNA, 403 nt
Filed under: uncultured bacterium
Lineage: Bacteria
Description: partial 16S ribosomal RNA
Rfam family: Bacterial small subunit ribosomal RNA
Source: RNAcentral